ACUUUCAGUCGUGAGGAAGGUGUUGAGGUUAAUACCCUUGGCAAUUGACGUUAGCGACAGAAGAAGCACCGGCUAACUCCGUGCCAGCAGCCGCGGUAAUACGGAGGGUGCGAGCGUUAAUCGGAAUUACUGGGCGUAAAGGGCACGCAGGCGGUUAAUUAAGUUGGAUGUGAAAUCCCCGGGCUUAACCUGGGAAUGGCAUUCAAGACUGGUUAGCUAGAGUCUUGUAGAGGGGGGUAGAAUUCCAUGUGUAGCGGUGAAAUGCGUAGAGAUGUGGAGGAAUACCGGUGGCGAAGGCGGCCCCCUGGACAAAGACUGACGCUCAUGUGCGAAAGCGUGGGGAGCAAACAGGAUUAGAUACCCUGGUAGUCCACGCUGUAAACGAUGUCGAUUUGGAGGUUGCGGUCAAGAACUGUGGCCUCCGGAGCUAACGCGUUAAAUCGACCGCCUGGGGAGUACGGCCGCAAGGUUAAAACUCAAAUGAAUUGACGGGGGCCCGCACAAGCGGUGGAGCAUGUGGUUUAAUUCGAUGCAACGCGAAGAACCUUACCUACUCUUGACAUCCAGCGAAUCCUUUA
RNAcentral lists this ribosomal RNA (578 nucleotides) under Arsenophonus endosymbiont of Pheidole sulcaticeps. RNAcentral's name for it is "bacterial SSU rRNA". It matches the Rfam family "Bacterial small subunit ribosomal RNA", at positions 432 to 1002 of the family's 1533-position model. The record is from RNAcentral. Lineage: Bacteria; Pseudomonadati; Pseudomonadota; Gammaproteobacteria; Enterobacterales; Morganellaceae.